This 69-nucleotide transfer RNA is filed under the name Mukaria splendida. RNAcentral describes it as "tRNA-Asp". The record is from RNAcentral. Lineage: Eukaryota; Metazoa; Arthropoda; Insecta; Hemiptera; Cicadellidae.
AAGAAGUUAGUUUAAUAAAAACAUAAACUCGUCAAGUUUUUAAUACUAAAAAAUAAUUAGUACCUCUUU